RNAcentral lists this ribosomal RNA (1232 nucleotides) under uncultured bacterium. Its description in RNAcentral is "bacterial SSU rRNA". It matches the Rfam family "Bacterial small subunit ribosomal RNA", at positions 281 to 1505 of the family's 1533-position model. The record is from RNAcentral.
CCGUAGCUGGUCUGAGAGGACGACCAGCCACACUGGAACUGAGACACGGUCCAGACUCCUACGGGAGGCAGCAGUGGGGAAUUUUGGACAAUGGGGGCAACCCUGAUCCAGCCAUUCCGCGUGAGUGAAGAAGGCCUUCGGGUUGUAAAGCUCUUUCGGCAGGAACGAAACGGUCUUCUCUAACAUAGGAGGCUAAUGACGGUACCUGAAGAAGAAGCACCGGCUAACUACGUGCCAGCAGCCGCGGUAAUACGUAGGGUGCGAGCGUUAAUCGGAAUUACUGGGCGUAAAGCGUGCGCAGGCGGUUUUGUAAGACAGGUGUGAAAUCCCCGGGCUUAACCUGGGAACUGCGCUUGUGACUGCAAGACUUGAGUGUGGCAGAGGGGGGUGGAAUUCCACGUGUAGCAGUGAAAUGCGUAGAGAUGUGGAGGAACACCGAUGGCGAAGGCAGCCCCCUGGGUCAACACUGACGCUCAUGCACGAAAGCGUGGGGAGCAAACAGGAUUAGAUACCCUGGUAGUCCACGCCCUAAACGAUGCGAACUAGGUGUUGGGGAAGGAGACUUCUUUAGUACCGUAGCUAACGCGUGAAGUUCGCCGCCUGGGGAGUACGGUCGCAAGAUUAAAACUCAAAGGAAUUGACGGGGACCCGCACAAGCGGUGGAUGAUGUGGAUUAAUUCGAUGCAACGCGAAAAACCUUACCUACCCUUGACAUGCCAGGAAUCCUGCCGAGAGGUGGGAGUGCCCGAAAGGGAGCCUGGACACAGGUGCUGCAUGGCUGUCGUCGGCUCGUGUCGUGAGAUGUUGGGUUAAGUCCCGCAACGAGCGCAACCCUUGUCAUUAGUUGCUACAUUCAGUUGGGCACUCUAGUGAGACUGCCGGUGACAAACCGGAGGAAGGUGGGGAUGACGUCAAGUCCUCAUGGCCCUUAUAGGUGGGGCUACACACGUCAUACAAUGGCUGGUACAGAGGGUUGCCAACCCGCGAGGGGGAGCCAAUCCCAUAAAACCAGUCGUAGUCCGGAUCGCAGUCUGCAACUCGACUGCGUGAAGUCGGAAUCGCUAGUAAUCGCGGAUCAGAAUGUCGCGGUGAAUACGUUCCCGGGUCUUGUACACACCGCCCGUCACACCAUGGGAGCGGGUUCUGCCAGAAGUAGUUAGCCUAACCGCAAGGAGGGCGAUUACCACGGCAGGGUUCGUGACUGGGGUGAAGUCGUAACAAGGUAACCGUAA